Molecule: non-coding RNA, 2232 nt
Organism: Pocillopora verrucosa
Lineage: Eukaryota; Metazoa; Cnidaria; Anthozoa; Scleractinia; Pocilloporidae
Source: RefSeq, a predicted model, not a curated record
AGUAAGUCCAAAGAUGGCUACUGUCGUGCGUGGACCCGGCGGAUAAACUGUUGAAUGAGGUUUGAGAAUUCAUAACGAACAUAUUGCAUUUAUCAAAGUACUUCGCUUCAAGAGUUGAGGAUGUACAGAUGUCUGUGAUAGCAAUAGCCCAUGUGACUGAUGAAGAUUUACAUGCAUUGGGACUCAGAAAAAGGAGUGACCUUACACGUCUACGAAGAUUUUGUAUGGAAAAAGUUCAGGAGUCAGAAAACAAGGAGAGGCUGAAUGAAAAGAAGGAUCUCCUUGAAAAGAUUUUGGAGAAAAAAAAAUUGAAGAGAAGAUGUGAAAACCUUCAGUAGUUUGUUGUAAACACAAGAGAAAUAAAGGAAAAGCUCCAGAAUUUAGUGGUACAAAAAGAGUUCAACUAGGGUGGCUAGUUUGUCAGAUUACAGUGACAAACAGAAGAGGUAUGUGGCUGUCAGACAAAAUAAGGGUGGUGGUACCAGAGACAUUGUUCUGUCAAUUGAUGCAACAGCUGACAGUAUCAUUGGAACUGGAAAAGAAUUGUUCUUCCCUGGUGCUUUAAGCUCAUUUGGCAUUAUAGACACAAUGGAAUUUUAUUGGCCAGCUACGAAGAGGACACUGUUUCCAAUGUGGAUGUUGGUGGUUCAGUUUUAACCUCUAGUUUACAAAGGUAUCUGAAUUCUACUAUACUCCCCAGAGCAAGGCUGUAUUUAGUAUUAAAAGUGAAGCCGUGUGAAUCUGUGGGAGGUGGUGAUGACAGUCUACUUUAGCCAAUGUUAGAUCUCACAACCACCAGAAAGCAUUACCCUGAAGAAGACACAACAUUUGAGAAAUCCACUUUAGAAGUGUCAGCAAGUGAAUCUACUCCAGGCUUGGAUGAUGAUGAUAUUGAUUUUAAGGGCUUUUGUACUGCACAGGAAAUCAAUGAAGACAUGCCUCCACUACUUGAUUUGCUGCCACCAGUGGAAAGCUCUCCCUCAGAACAACUACUGUCUGAUGACUUGAUAAUAGAGGCCUGCAGUUCUGGAUAGAGGUUUUCUGGUCCUAGGAUGCAGUACGGACAGCUGAACCUUCCAGUCUUGCUGGAAUCACAAUGAUUGUCAAGAGAAUUUUUUGUUGAGGUAGUAAAUCAGGAGUUGGAUGGCCAGACUGACCACUCAGAGAACACCUUGUAUCAACACUUUUUUUCUGCUACAAACACAUUAAUUUAUUCAAUCACAUUAUUGAUGGCUUGCUUGUACUGUCCUAUCAGCAGACAAGCAUUUCUGGUUAACCACCUGACAACUUUUGUAUACUUAAAAAUGUACAACAAAUUGAAUAGAGGAUGGUUUUUCGUUUUGUAUGAAAAUAGUGCACAUUCAGGUGUGGGAAGAAGUGGUAGGGGAUACAUAAACUGUAGGCGAGUACAUUCAGUAGAUGUUUCUUGUUACCUCAAAAGUGCAAUUUUUUUCUAGGUGGAAAUCCAUUUUCUGUUUGGUUUGGAAUAUUGCAUACAUGUAUACAUGUAUGUACAUGUAUGUUUUAUCAAUUACUGCAAUUGAUAACAAUGGUAGCCUAUCUGUCACAAAUGUCCUGUUUUUAUUGUACCAGCUAAACUGCUAUCUAUAUCAAUGCUGAAAUGCUGUUGGGCAAACUUUAAGACCUCUACUGGCUAGUAUUCUUUUCAGCUGUCGCAAACUGAGUUCCUGGUCAUGCAGUAAGAGAAGGCAUGAGGUAAAUCUGCGUUGUUGUAUCCAAGGUUGAAGUACUACUCAAUGACUUCAUCACGAAAGUUCAAGUCCAAACGUGCCGCCAUCUUUGCCCCGUCCACCACUACAAUAACACCCAGGCUCUUUGCUUAAAAAAACUCGUCACGUAUUUCGUCACACAACUCGUCAAAUAACUUGUCAAUUAACUUGUCAAAUAACUCGUCAAAUAAUUGAGCAUUAGAAAUAAAUUUACCUUGGGCUUUGACGAUUAAUUUAAGAACUCUUUGUGCUAAUCAUUGUACAGUCCCCUCGAUAGUUUUUUUUUUUAACUAAGUGAUGGAAACAUCCAGCCUUUUUACACUCUGAUCUCCCAGAAUGUCGCGAAACAUUCGGGUCUUAUUGGUAAAUUUACAUUCGGUAAAUUCGAAAAUAAUCAUCGGAGGGCGCAUGUUUUUCCAUAUGGCUUUUGUAGAAGAGAAAUUAUAUAAGCCCACUGUAUCUUUGUUUUUGCUUUACGUCUAGAAGACAUAUCAAAACGGCC